RNAcentral lists this ribosomal RNA (253 nucleotides) under uncultured bacterium. Its description in RNAcentral is "partial 16S ribosomal RNA". It matches the Rfam family "Bacterial small subunit ribosomal RNA", at positions 524 to 776 of the family's 1533-position model. The record is from RNAcentral.
GACGAACCGUGCGAACGUUGUUCGGAAUCACUGGGCUUAAAGGGCGCGUAGGCGGCUGCGCAAGUCCGGGGUGAAAGCCCCCAGCUCAACUGGGGAAGUGCCUUGGAUACUGUGCAGCUCGAGCGAGGUAGGGGUCGUGGGAACUUCCGGUGGAGCAGUGAAAUGCGUUGAUAUCGGAAGGAACGCCGGUGGCGAAAGCGCACGACUGGACCUCUUCUGACGCUGAGGCGCGAAAGCCAGGGGAGCAAACGGG